AUGCCUUCUUCGGAGGUGGUGUCCACUGCUAAACCCACCAAUUAUCCCCCGAUUCUACUUGAAAUAAAAGAUGACGAUCAAAUGGAGAGCCUAGGGAGGAUGAAGAAAUUGCAGCAUGAAAAUAUCCUUGCGGUGCAUUUCUUUCAGAAGGAUGGAGCUGGAGGUCUUCGAGCUUUUGUGGAGCCAUAUACAGGUUAUAUUGUAGAGCUGUUUGCAGAUGUCAAAUUUUUGGUCAAUAAAGAAACCGGAUUGGUUCCAUCUCAGCCAUUUCAAGAAUUAGUGAGUGCAUCGCUUGAUGGCUUGGAUUUUAUUUUCAAGAGUGAUCUUUAUCAUGGAAAUUUUUCAUGGAACACAACAGCUUACCACCAGGACAAAGUUGAUGGUAAAAUGACACUUAAAUUGUGCAACUUUGAAGACAGAAAGAACACAAGUCUUCUGAAAUGCCAGAUCGGGGACUGUCACGCUCUUGCCCAUGAUCUUGAGAAGGUAUCUAGACGUGUGAAGGAAGAGUAUCCUGGUGUCAAGCCCGAGGCAUGCUGUCUACUAGACGACCUCGCACGUAGGUUGAGAGCUGUUAAUGGCAUGGAAUCAUUAAGCACAAUGAAACAGAAGAAUCAAGAUCAUGUGUUUUUCUGGGAUGAUAAUAAAAAGAGAACCUUCUGUGCUUAUGAGAUGCCAGCAGUUUGGUCCACAGAAGCAUUCUGUAACAAGUUUUGGGCUUCUCCAUCUGCGCUGGAUAUGCCAUGGAACACAGAAUGGCAGGCUAAUUCGCCAUUGCUAUUGGAGGCAAUGGAAAAGUACCGUGUAAAGAACAAUAUUGCUCCUUACAAUUUUGAUAAUAGAAAGGACUUUGUACGAUUUAUUAGCGGACUUUACACGCAUCAGAUAGAACUCAAGCUGCAGCUUCCAUUUGUUAGUGUUGAUGUUGUUGUUCAUCUUAGACAUCCUCGUUUGCUUUUGGACUUGAAAGCGGCCGCUGAAGUGGAUGCCAUGGAUGUGGACAACCAGAACCAGUGA
This 1017-nucleotide ribosomal RNA is filed under the name Triticum aestivum (bread wheat). Its description in RNAcentral is "partial small subunit ribosomal RNA". Lineage: Eukaryota; Viridiplantae; Streptophyta; Magnoliopsida; Poales; Poaceae. The record is from RNAcentral.